RNAcentral lists this ribosomal RNA (468 nucleotides) under uncultured bacterium. Its description in RNAcentral is "partial 16S ribosomal RNA". It matches the Rfam family "Bacterial small subunit ribosomal RNA", at positions 28 to 507 of the family's 1533-position model. The record is from RNAcentral.
GGCGAACGCUGGCGGCGUGCUUAACACAUGCAAGUCGAACGGAAAGGCCCUGCUCUUGCUGGUUGCUCGAUUGGCGAACGGGUGUGUAUCACGUGAGUAACCUGCCCUUGACUUUGUGAUAACUUCAGGAAACUGGGGCUAAUACCGGAUAUGAUCUCCUGCUGCAUGGUGGGCGUUGGAAAGUUUCGGCGGUUGGGGAUGGACUCGCGGCUUAUCAGCUUGUUGGUGGGGUAGUGGCUUACCAAGGCUUUGACGGGUAGCCGGCCUGAGAGGGUGACCGGCCACAUGGGGACUGAGAUACGGCCCAGACUGCUACGGGAGGCAGCAGUGGGGAAUAUUGCACAAUGGGCGGAAGCCUGAUGCAGAAACGCCGCGUGCGGGAUGACGGGCUUCGGGUUGUAAACCGCUUUGGCAUGUGACGAGGCGUGAGUGACGGUAAUGGGUAAAGAAGCACCGGCUAACUACGUG